UUUAAAUUGCUGUGGUAUUUUAACUAUACAAAGGUAUUGUAAUAAGGUUUUAAUUGGAUGCUAAAAGAAUGGAAUUUUAAAAAAGAUCUUUCUUAAAAAUAAAAAUUGAAUUUUUUUUAAUUUGUGCAGAAACAAUUAUUUAUAUUAAGGACAAGAAGACCCUAAGAAUUUAUAAUUAAAUAAAUUAAAAUUUUAAUUUAUUUAAUUUUGAUUGGGGUGAUCGAAAAAUAUUAAUAACUUUUUUGAAUUUAAAUGAUCUAUUAUUAAUAAAUGAAUGAAAUAAAUACUCUAGGGAUAACAGCGUAAUAAUUUUUGAUAGAUCUUAUAGACAAAAUAGUUUGCGACCUCGAUGUUGGAUUAGGAUACUUUUUUAAUGAAGAAGUUAAAAAAAGAAGUUUGUUCAACUUUUAAAUUCCUACAUGAUCUGAGUUUCAGACCGGA
This 441-nucleotide ribosomal RNA is filed under the name Hyalomma impeltatum. RNAcentral describes it as "partial large subunit ribosomal RNA". The stretch from base 294 to 441 matches the Rfam family "Bacterial large subunit ribosomal RNA", at positions 2473 to 2620 of the family's 2925-position model. Lineage: Eukaryota; Metazoa; Arthropoda; Arachnida; Ixodida; Ixodidae. The record is from RNAcentral.